AAUAAAAAUAUAUUUUUGUUCUGCAUUGGGCCCACCAAUGCAUGUAACCGACCCUGGUGUCUGACUAUUUCAGUGGUAAGCACCCUCUGUUUUUCGUUUGAAACUUCACGAAGCGCAUAACCUCAACAUGCUAAAACUUUUUAAAUACAUUUUGUGAACAUUCUAAAGAAAUGGCUCUGCUAUUUAAUAAAUUAAGAUUAGGAGAACUCGUAAAAGUAUCGGUUAGGUGCAAACACGGACCAAAUCAUUGGACUGUAUUAAGGAAAAAGAAAACUGCAAAAGACAAAGCAUUGAAACACUUUGAUGAAUUUUAUGGGUCUGUAUAUGGAGAUAAUUGGCAGUUCAUACGGGCUGCAUUACUGAAAGAAGAAAGUAAAUAUAUAGCUGUGGUUAAUAAUUUUAGUGAUACAGAAAGGAUAAAAUCAGAUUUGGAGUUGCUUGGUGCCUUCAAUUUGAAAACAUUAUACAAUGUAUUUAAUGAAACUAUAGCUCAUUCUCCCAAGUCCGAAACUAUUGAGACUAAAAAUGAUCAGAGUUCAAUAGAUACUUUUAUAUCUAAUAUUAAGUCAACUAAAGUUGAGUCAAUCUAUCCAGCUGAUCAUAAACAUAUACCAAAGGAGUUAACAUCAGAAGAAAAUGAAGAGUUGAUUAAAACUCAGGAACCACUACAAUCUAUAAAAUUACAAUCUAUAAAUAAAGAUUUAAAUGAAGUAGCUGUAGAAACUAAUCGUAUCAUUGAUUCAUCCAAAAAUUUAUCUCUGCUUCACGAGUAUAUACCUGCCACAAAAAUAAAGGGUUUGGAUGAUUGGGUACUCGAAUCCGAUCAUUAUGACUUUUACAAUAAAGCACCUGAGUUUAAAGUACAUAUUGUAAAAGAAUAUGUUCUUCCAUUCCCAAAACAUUUGCAUGCAUAUACUUUCGAAGGAGAAAGUAAAGCCAGGUUCCCAAAUCCAAAAAAAGGAACCACUGGUGUUCUAGAUUAUUAUUUGUUCGAUGGAGGAUCUAUAUUACCAAUAUUAGCCCUUGAUUUACAAUUAGGUGAUAUUGUGCUCGAUAUGUGUGCAGCACCUGGAGGUAAAACUUUAACUAUUCUUCAAACGCUUUUGCCUAAGGUGGUGGUGGCUAAUGAUAGAAUGGAGUCUAGAGUGAACAGAAUAAACAAUGUCAUGGAGCAGUACGUAUUAAAUUUAUGUGAUGAGCAAAGUUUAUUUGUAACAGAAAAGGAUGCUCGAGUAAUAGACGAGAAAGAUAUAUACAAUAAGAUUUUAGUCGAUGUGCCGUGCACAACAGAUAGACAUGUAUUACACUGUGACGAAAACAAUAUGUUUAAACCUUCUAGACUUAAGGAAAGAUUACAAAUCCCAGAACUUCAAUCUGAAAUUUUAACAAAUGCAUUAAAGUUGGUAUCAGUUGGAGGCAUUGUUGUUUAUGCAACAUGCUCCCUCAGUCCUAUACAAAACGAUGGUGUUGUGCACGUAGCAUUAAAAAGAGCAUGGGAAGAAAGUGAUUCCGUUAUGAUCGUAAAAGAUAUGACGGAAGCAUUGUCGCCUUUGAAGUGUAUCUAUAGAUUUGGCGAUAUUGAUUUAAAGUAUGGUCAUAUCGUUGUCCCUAGUCUCGGUAGUAAUUGGGGACCGAUGUAUUUUUGUAAAAUAGUAAGGGUACGAUAAAGGUAAGUGAGUCGAAAAUACAUUUUAAAAUUUAGGAUAACAUCUGUACCUGAACUUCAUUUUGUGUGAAAGGGCCCCAUUUUUUUUAUCUACUGUCUUUUUUAUGUACAGAUAAUAAAAUAACAGUUCUUAUUUUAACAUGAUAUAAGGUCGAAAAAAUGCGUAUUUAUAGUAAUACUGUGAUAUUAUAUACGUACGACAUUAAUAAAUAUUGUUUCAAGUC
Hylaeus anthracinus is the source of this 1890-nucleotide RNA transcript. It is a transcript of the gene named 5-methylcytosine rRNA methyltransferase NSUN4, with no coding region annotated. The transcript has 9 exons. The record is from RefSeq and is a predicted model, not a curated record. NCBI's taxonomy places the organism in Eukaryota, Metazoa, Arthropoda, Insecta, Hymenoptera, Colletidae.